Ictalurus punctatus (channel catfish) is the source of this 1332-nucleotide long non-coding RNA. NCBI's taxonomy places the organism in Eukaryota, Metazoa, Chordata, Actinopteri, Siluriformes, Ictaluridae. The record is from Ensembl.
UGGAGAGUGAGAGCGAGAGAGGGAGAGGGGGGAAGGGGGGGGUUGGAGAGGGAGGAGUGGCAGACAGCGAGAGUGAGAGAAGCAGAAAGUAUGCAUGUGUGCGCGUGUGCAUGAGUAAGUGGGCUGUUGCUAUAAAAUUUGCGAGCAGGGGCGCUCAUUGCGUUCGCUGGUGAUCAGGGUGGUGGUUUUUUUUUUCUUUUUUUUUUUUCCUUUUUUUUCCCCUUCUUUUUUCAUUUGUAAUCAAGGCAUGCUUGCACACUCCAAUCACUUCUCUGCACCUCCUCGGCUGCCUUGUGUCUGGAAGCAAUCCAGCUUUCGUCGCUGACAUGGACCGAUCUAGCCCUACAGACAUGAUGCUGGUUAAGAAGGAGCAGAAAGAUGCCGAGCUGGAUAGGAAGAUUGAGGCGUUGCGAAAGAAGAACGAGGCCCUUAUGAAGCGCUAUCAGGAGGUGGAGGAGGAUAAGAAACGGGGCGGAGCAGGAGGGCAUGGCAAUGCAGAGCCGCAAAGGGAAGGUUGAGGACCUGACCAUCACCAUCAACAAGUCCCCAACUGAGAAGCGUGUUGUAACCAAGAAGGGUUGGGAGAUGCAAUUCCUAAAGGGGUGAAGAACCAGGAGGACGUGUCCGACAUUUUUAGUGCUGGCCGUGGUAAAAGGAGGCAGCUUCUAGUCACUGCACCAGGAAACACUAAGGCAAGCUUGGCAUCGGGUCCAUAUAAUGUGUAUGAAUAGGAAUAUUGAUGACUUGAUCCCUGUUCUGGAUGUUGUUGGUUUGCCCAUGCUUCAAAUAUAUCUGUUUCGCUGUUUCCAUAGUUACCCAUUUCUUUCAGUGACCAUGUCAGAUCCUAUUGAUUUGCAUGUACUGACAGCAACCGAAUGUACCCCAAAUACAUUGAAUGUAGUGUUAAGAAUACACCGGAAUUCACCAAUUAAUCAUAAACAGCUUUGAUAAACGAUACCAUUAGUAAACAUUAACCAUACUGGUAUUGGUGAAAGUUGGUGAAAAAUCAUGGCGGUAACAUUGCAAAUGUAAAAAUGUGUGCGCAAAUCUGGAAUAACUUGCCGUUGAUGUACUCUGAGAUGCGUCCUGUCACUGCAGGGAAGAGGGUGGUUAGUGAAAGAGUGGAGAAGAGCAGUCCUGCUGGUCUAGCAGGGAUAAAGCACUCUACUGAGGGCAGGGGGGAGCUGCUAGACACUCCUGCAGGUCCAAAAAACCAGGUUGGAAAGAAGCAGGAACGAAAGUGUCGAGUUGAAGGUGGUCAUCAUGGAUUCACUGAGUAUAACCCCUAUCCCCAGCAAACCGAAGUGCUGACUGAUCUCAGCAUCCCCACGU